AGGAGAGUUUGAUCCUGGCUCAGAUUGAACGCUGGCGGCAGGCCUAACACAUGCAAGUCGAACGGUAGCAGGAUGUGCUUGCACAUCGCUGACGAGUGGCGGACGGGUGAGUAAUGCUUGGGAACUUGCCUUUGCGAGGGGGAUAACAGUUGGAAACGACUGCUAAUACCGCAUAAUGUCUACGGACCAAACGGGGCUUUUAGCUCCGGCGCAAAGAGAGGCCCAAGUGAGAUUAGCUAGUUGGUGAGGUAAAGGCUCACCAAGGCGACGAUCUCUAGCUGUUCUGAGAGGAAGAUCAGCCACACUGGGACUGAGACACGGCCCAGACUCCUACGGGAGGCAGCAGUGGGGAAUAUUGCACAAUGGGGGAAACCCUGAUGCAGCCAUGCCGCGUGUGUGAAGAAGGCCUUCGGGUUGUAAAGCACUUUCAGUUGUGAGGAAAGGUUGGUAGUUAAUACCUGCCAGCUGUGACGUUAACAACAGAAGAAGCACCGGCUAACUCCGUGCCAGCAGCCGCGGUAAUACGGAGGGUGCGAGCGUUAAUCGGAAUUACUGGGCGUAAAGCGCACGCAGGCGGUUUGUUAAGCUAGAUGUGAAAGCCCCGGGCUCAACCUGGGAUGGUCAUUUAGAACU
RNAcentral lists this ribosomal RNA (633 nucleotides) under uncultured bacterium. Its description in RNAcentral is "bacterial SSU rRNA". It matches the Rfam family "Bacterial small subunit ribosomal RNA", at positions 1 to 634 of the family's 1533-position model. The record is from RNAcentral.